This 348-nucleotide unclassified non-coding RNA is filed under the name soil metagenome. RNAcentral's name for it is "partial contains 5.8S ribosomal RNA, internal transcribed spacer 2, and large subunit ribosomal RNA". The stretch from base 1 to 120 matches the Rfam family "5.8S ribosomal RNA", at positions 35 to 154 of the family's 154-position model. The record is from RNAcentral.
GAUGAAGAACGCAGCGAAAUGCGAUAAGUAAUGUGAAUUGCAGAAUUCAGUGAAUCAUCGAAUCUUUGAUCGCACAUUGCGCCCGCCAGUAUUCUGGCGGGCAUGCCUGUCUGAGCGUCAUUUCAACCCUCAUGCCCCUAGGGCGUGGUGUUGGGGAUCGGCCAAAGCCCGCGAGGGACGGCCGGCCCCUAAAUCUAGUGGCGGACCCGUCGUGGCCUCCUCUGCGAAGUAGUGAUAUUCCGCAUCGGAGAGCGACGAGCCCCUGCCGUUAAACCCCCAACUUUCCAAGGUUGACCUCAGAUCAGGUAGGAAUACCCGCUGAACUUAAGCAUAUCAAUAAGCGGAGGA